RNAcentral lists this ribosomal RNA (468 nucleotides) under uncultured bacterium. Its description in RNAcentral is "partial 16S ribosomal RNA". It matches the Rfam family "Bacterial small subunit ribosomal RNA", at positions 28 to 507 of the family's 1533-position model. The record is from RNAcentral.
GACGAACGCUGGCGGCGUGCUUAACACAUGCAAGUCGAACGGAAAGGCCCUGCUUUUGUGGGGUGCUCGAGUGGCGAACGGGUGAGUAACACGUGAGUAACCUGCCCUUGACUUUGGGAUAACUUCAGGAAACUGGGGCUCAUACCGCAUAGGAGCUCCUGCUGCAUGGUGGGGGAUGGAAAGUUUCGGCGGUUGGGGAUGGACUCGCAGCUUAUCAGCUUGUUUGUGGGGUAGGGGCUUACCAAGGUUUUGACGGGUAGCCGGCCUGAGAGGGUGACCGGCCACAUUGGGACUGAGAUACGGCCCAGACUCCUACGGGAGGCAGAAGUGGGGAAUAUUGCACAAUGGGCGGAAGCCUGAUGCAGCAACGCCGCGUGCGGGAUGACGGCCUUCGGGUUGUAAACCGAUUUCGCCUGUGACGAAGCGUGAGUGACGGUAAUGGGUAAAGAAGCACCGGCUAACUACGUG